Molecule: ribosomal RNA, 766 nt
Filed under: uncultured Glomus
Lineage: Eukaryota; Fungi; Glomeromycota; Glomeromycetes; Glomerales; Glomeraceae
Description: SSU rRNA
Rfam family: Eukaryotic small subunit ribosomal RNA
Source: RNAcentral
UACCAUGGUUUUAACGGUAACAGGGGAAUUAGGGUUCGAUUCCGGAGAGGGAGCCUGAGAAACGGCUACCACAUCCAAGGAAGGCAGCAGGCGCGCAAAUUACCCAAUCCCGUCACGGGGAGGUAGUGACAAUAAAUAACAAUAUGGGGCUCUUACGAGUCUCGUAAUUGGAAUGAGUACAAUUUAAAUCUCUUAACGAGGAACAAUUGGAGGGCAAGUCUGGUGCCAGCAGCCGCGGUAAUUCCAGCUCCAAUAGCGUAUAUUAAAGUUGUUGCAGUUAAAAAGCUCGUAGUUGAAUUUCGGGAUCAAUACGUCGGUCGUGCUUUCGGGUACGUACUGGCAUCAUUGGUUUCUCCUUUCUGACGAAUCAUGAUGUCAUUAAUUUGGUGUUAUGGGGAGUUAGGACUGUUACUUUGAAAAAAUUAGAGUGUUUAAAGCAGGCAUUAGCUUGAAUACAUUAGCAUGGAAUAAUGAAAUAGGACGUUCGAUCCUAUUUUGUUGGUUUCUAGGAUCAACGUAAUGAUUAAUAGGGAUAGUUGGGGGCAUUAGUAUUCAAUUGUCAGAGGUGAAAUUCUUGGAUUUAUUGAAGACUAACUACUGCGAAAGCAUUUGCCAAGGAUGUUUUCAUUAAUCAAGAACGAAAGUUAGGGGAUCGAAGACGAUCAGAUACCGUCGUAGUCUUAACCAUAAACUAUGCCGACUAGGGAUCGGAUGAUGUUAAUUUUUUAAUGACUCAUUCGGCGCCUUACGGGAAACCAAAGUGUUU